This is a long non-coding RNA of Mauremys mutica (yellowpond turtle), 6825 nucleotides long. RefSeq lists it as uncharacterized. Lineage: Eukaryota; Metazoa; Chordata; Testudines; Geoemydidae. The record is from RefSeq and is a predicted model, not a curated record. The transcript is spliced from 4 exons.
CAGUGGGUUAGAGCAGGGUGGGCUGGGAGCCAGGACUCCUGGGUUCUGUCCCUGCUCUGGGAGGGGAGUGGGGGCUAGUGGGUAGAGCAGGGACUGGCCUACACGACCAUUCACCCAAAAGUUACCUGAAUUAAUUUGCUCCUUUGGCCUUGCUGUUUGGCCUGUCAAAGCUGUGAGUUCACAGACCCUCCCAGGGCUGACGCACUCCCUCGACUGCAGUUUUGGAAGGUCCCUUUUAAGACAAUAACCGCUGCUGCCCCUGUCUGCAUGCUGCUCGCGGGCUGUUUCCAAGAGCUGCAGUGCUUUGUGAUUUCUCCUUGCAGCACUUCAAGGGUUUCACAUCCUCCUAAUUUGGGAUCAGCAGCCAGAUGUGUUGAUUACUGCAAUCACAGGGGAAGGUGGCCCAUACAUUGUUAAUAGCCUGAUUGAUGAUGAACCGAAGGUGUUGGGGUAUCAUGCAGAACAGGGUCCCCCGGAGCAGUGCGGUUUACUGGCCUGGCUCUGAGUUUGCAGUAUGAAAGAGGGAGUGAUCGCAGAGUCAUAAAUGGCUGGCAGGGGCUUGUACCACUGGCAGGUAGCCAGGGGCUGGAACGAUGGAAUUAAUUCAGACUGGUCCUUUGGACAAAGCAUCACUCGAGGUGGGGGGACGGGGAGAGAAUGCUUUACGCAGAGGGGAUGAGCUGGUGAGCUUAAAAGUCAGGACUCCUGGGUUCUCUCCCCAGCUCUGGACAGGUGUUGGGUCUGUAGCCUGGUCUCGUGGCAGGUUCACACUGGAGGUUUAUGACCCUCUGCUGGCUGGGGAGACGGGGGCUAGUCUGGUGCCCGUGGUCCCGGCUGCUGUGUCCCCCUAUGCCUCACAGGUCUCCGGGGAGGUGCCUGCCAGGGGGUUGUGUGUGUUGGGGGGCAGUUGGCCCCAAUGCCUGGGGGUCACAAUGGGGAGAUGAUCUCUCUCACCCUCCAUCCAUCUCAUCUCCAACACCAAAUUCAGCCAAAGGUUUAGGCAUUCAAGUUUAUUGAAUCACUGAAGCUGUUCCAAACAGCCUAUCCCAGCGCGGACAGCAAGAGACCCUACCAUAAACAAUCCCGUAAACAAGGCAACCCAUGGAACAAGCCCACUCCACUUCAAGAAAAAUGCCCCUCUUUAAAUGCAGAGGAUUCCCUCGGUCAGAGCCAGGUCCCAAACAUCCUGGGGGCUUGUCUCUCUCCUUGUGAGCGAAGCUGCCGCAUAGGAACAGAGAUCAAAUGAAUCCGGCGAUCGAUCUGUAAUUGUGUCACAUCCUGCCCUGUGCUGGGGAAUUAAUCGGUCUGUCGAGGUUAAUGGAAUGUCAGUUAAUUUCUUAGCGCGCGGUUGCCGGAGCUGCCUGGUAAACGCUUAUUGAUUUCAACACAAUUAAAGAUAAACUGAGCACAGGCGGGUCCGGGUGGCAUCAAUGCCACAGUGACACGGAGGAGGAAUCGGAGGAGCAAAUACUGGCUGUGUCGGUGCCCCUGGGUGCACAAGUGGCAUCUACAGGUGUUUUCAAAGCGCGGUGCAGUGACAGAGCACGAGAGUCUCUGCCCCGGAGAGUGCCCCACCACAGUGACAAAGACAGAACCCUUGUCUCUCUCUCACAGCCGAGGCCCAGAGAGAGAGUGGCAGCAGUAUUCUCCAAUGAGCGCGGUGCCCUUUCAAGUGGCCACAUUGUCCAGAGGUCUCAGCAUGCUGGAUGCUGCUGCUUUUUGGAGAAACGGGCCCAUGGUUCGGUACCUGAAGGGGAGAGGGGCUCUUCUGACAAGCUGCCCCAAAGUGGCUGCCCUAGGUCACGCAGCAGGGGAGUUGCAGAGCAGGGAUUUGAAGCUGGGUCUCCUGGGAAGCCGUCCAGUGUUGUGUGCCCAGCCACCCACCCAUCCUGCGUCUGGGUGCAUUGUAAAUACAGUGACAGCUUGGUUAGCCAGCUGCCUGUCUGCGGAGACAGGAUGUCAGAUCAGACACUGCUCACUCCCUCAGGGAUGGCGUCUCCCAGUUUGCAAAGCCAGCAGCUCCUCUGGGCCAGGCGCGUUAGAUAGUUUAGUCUCUUCAAACAGACUUCCAGCCCCAUGCAUUGGAGGGUGGUAGAGUGGGGCUGGGCUCCUCAGAACUGGGUCUACCAAUGAAGACUGGAGCCAGACCCAGGCCUCACAGGCUGCUCUCAGACUGGUGUAAAUCCAGUGUGACGCUGCUGAAGCUGGGGGCAUUACAGGGCCAUAUGUGACAGCAGCGCCCCCUGACAGCUGCCCUAUCCAACUGCAAUCUUACUGUUCCCGGAGAGAAGAGAGGUGUUCUGUGCAGACGGCCGGCCCGCGAGGGGGCAGGACAGGCAGCCGUGCAGGAGUGUGUUGGUUUUCUCACAGCCAGAGGGGACAUCCACGCUGUGGCUGAGACAUGAUAAAUCCUUCGCCGUUGUAAAACCAGCCAGCCCCUGCUGUUUAAUGCGCCACAUGCAGCUUUGCAUCCAAACUCUGCUGCGAUUUACAAGUGGAGAGCAUUUGGGAACCAGGCACCAGGCAGCUUGGGCUGGGAUGGUGAGAGCUGAGCGCAUUUGGAACUGCUCUUUAACGAGGGAUUUUUAAUGAUGAUGUGACAUUAAAAGUCCCCAAGACGGGAUGUGGGGCGGGGGUGCUGUAGUAUGAGAUUUACAAACCCUCUUGCGCUAAGUGUUUAAAUGAUGGAAGCUCUGUUCCUGCGCAGUAAUUAGGGCAUAAAUUGUAUUUAUAACUCAUAAACAGAAAUGUCACCAGUUUCAUGAACUGAGGCUUGAGAUAAUAAAAGGAUAUUGUAGUUCAUCAUCGGGGCGAUGGAGGGAGAUCGAUCAGAAUUACAGCCUAGGAAAGCUGCGUCCGCGAGUGGCAUUUCUCUGAUGCAUGACUUGUUCGGUGCACGGGCAUGGGGCCGAGAAUGGAGAUCACUGGGCUGGUGGGAGGAGAAAUCCAUCUGCCUCUGGGUCAGGGUGGUAGGGAGAUGCUAGGCCUCGUGCUGGCCCCUCUAGUCUCCAUUCCCGAGUUCAAAGCAGCCUGGGAGAGGCCCUGUAUUCGUCAUGUCUCUGACACUCCGCUCAAGGCCCCAUCCAUCCACUCGCCGCAGCAGAGCUCCCUCGGCCGCGCCGAGGACCCCAGGGGAUACGUUUACUUUAUGCAUCGGAGCCCGCCAGGCCCCGGAGGCCGAGCAGAGACACUGUUAUUGUAGGCAGAGAGUUAUGGCCGCUCAUCACACGGGGUGAGGGACGUGUGGGGAAUGCACAGCUGCUGGCCAGGCCAGGCAGGGGAAUGAAUCCCUCCUAAAUGGCGGUGCAUGCGGAGCGGUCACCCGAAAGGCUGCUGAAUCCUCUCCCAGAGCAGCGCACUAAGCUGCAAAGAGCCCGGCAGCUCGGAAGGAUGGUGGAGAGUGUGUGUGUGUGGGGGGGAAUAUCUGACUGGGCUGCCCCUCCGUUUGAAUGUCCUGCCCCAGGCGGCCCCUCUCCGGCAAGCAGCCUUUGGAGGGCGUGAGCGGCUCGUGGGUUAUGUCAAUGGGUCAGGGAGGGCAGCAGUGCCUAGUGGUUUGAGCCGAGGUGUGCUGAGGGGGGGCUUGUCUGGGUGUCAGGACUCCUGGGUUCUAUCUACAGCACAGGGAGGGGGUGCGAGAAGGGAGACGGGCAUCUCUCUCUCUGUUUGGGCGCCAAUCUCCAUGCUCAUGCAAUGACCAGGAGCUCCAAGCAGCUUCCCUGCUGGUCUCCCUGCUGCUGUCUUCCAAACUCUUCUCCAGGAAUCCUGAUGAAUGGUCUAGGAUGAGGGCAGAGGGGUGGGAGCCCUCCAGGGUCUGGUAAUGGCCAGAGACAGCCCCAUGUAAUACGUGAGGGGGCUAUGAAAGAUUGUGGAUGGCAGCGGAUAUUAAGGGCAAUGACGUAACUCAACCUCCUUAGAUAUUGUAGCUGAUGGAUUUCAAUAUGCACCAGGUGGGAGAACAUGGAAAUGCCAAGAGAGAAAUCAAUGGAUCAGAGACCAGAAGAAGGACGCCUGGGAUCGGCCUGGUAUUUUUCAACUCAGUCUGCGGAUGAGAGGUCAGGGCAGCAAGUAAACUUCCCCUUAGCAAGUAUAUAUAAAGAAGCAGCAGAGAGAGUCGGCUGCUGGCACCACACCAGUCUGAGAACGCUGCCACACAUAGGGUCAGCUGGGCUCUCCAGCCGAUGGCCUCUUAAGCUAAUGCAGGACAGCCGUAGAGGACGAAAAAUGACAAUUGGACUUUGUGGAAAAUUCCCUCCACCUCCCAAAGUUUGGGGUUUUUUUUUCAUUGAAGCCGAAUCCCCCUCAAACUCUUGUUUUCAAAUACCUCGAACCUGGGAAAGGUUCUGUGUUUUCAUCCAAAAGGGGGAAAAAAGGAAAAUUUCACUCCAAAUAGAAAUUUUUCAUGAAAAUGGUCAUUUUGGUCAAACCAACAAAGAAAAAACCCACAAACUUUUCAUAAAAAAGUUUAGAUGAAAAAUAUUCCCACCAGCCCUGCCUGGGAGUGCGAGGCAUUUCCGGCUGCCGCCGUCUCUCUGUGGCUGUGUGUGGCCAGAGCCACCUGCGCUGAGGAGCCCAUGGGAUGAGGCAAGGACGGGCAUGGGCUCUCUGCCACCGGGACUGCUGAGCUCUGAGCCAGCUGGGAAAUCUCUCCCCCACAUUGUCCAGGUUUUAAAGGCCGGGGUCUCAAAUGGGCCAGGAGUCCCGCCCUUUGAUGUGAGUGGCGGCAGGUCUUGGCCUGUUGGGAAACCCCUCCCUAAAGGUUCCUGCCUUGUCCCUCAGAGACACCCCGCGUCCCAGUCACGCUCUGGGUGACUCACGUCGGCAGGUUGCUGGGUUUUGAAUGGGGGGGACGAUCGGUCCCACAUGCCAGAAACGCUUUGUGCCACAGUACGAGGAAACUAAGGGGCUGCCUCAGCGACGAGCUGCUCCGGCCAUGUCCAGCGGACGCGCUCUGUGCGAGGCACGUGCGGGGUUUUCAAGGCCCGACGGGUCCAUCGUGACCAUCCGGCCUGAGCUGCUGCCGUCGCCUGAGUCGGAGGGGCUCGCGCCAUGACUCUCGCUGUACCAGAGCCAGGGGCUGAAUUCCAGUGACAAUCGGAGGCCGUGGAGCAGGGCAGGGAGGUAGGAUGCUGAUCUCCCCUCAGGCUGUAGCGGAGCCCCACAGAUGUGGGGAGGCCUGGACGGGGGUGCAGGGGAGUAUCUGAAUAUGGAGCUAGCUGCUGUUGGUUUCGGGCCCUAUUUCUGCAGGCGGGUCACGUGGGGGGUGUGGGUGUGUGUGUGUGUAAUCUGCUGCCCUUAAGGCCUCCCCAUCGCUGGCCUUUAUUUCUGUCUCCCACCUUCCUGGGAUACAAAGAGGGCCAGGAGUGGCUUCCUUUUCCUGAGAGGUGGGCAAAAGUUUGGGACUGCAGUGUUAAACCGUCAUUGUUAUGUUUCAGAGUGAACACCCGCUAAGCUGAAUGUAGGGGGAGUUCACGUCUCCCUGAGCCAUUACGGUAUUUCAGGCUCUCUGCUCAGUAGCAAGUCAGAAAUGGAGCACCCAGCUAUACUCUCCCACUGGGAGGGGAGGGGGCCUAAUGGAUUCAAGCGAGGGGAUGCUGGGAGCCCGGACUCCUGGGUUCUAUCCCCCCGAGCUCUGGGAGGGGAGUGAGGUCUAGUGGUUAGAGCAGGGUGGUGGUGGCUGGGAGUCAGGACUUCUGGGUUCAGUUCCCAGCAGAGGCAGGCAAACUGGAAAUCGGCGGAUACCAAACAUUCUCGGGUGCCCAGCACUUUCCGCUCGAGAGAGGGGCACGCGGAUACGCGGAUUGAUUGAUUUACCUGUCCGGGGCUCCUGAGCUGGGCAGAGCGUAUUUGCGAGUGUGUUCUGAUUUGCAUCCCCUGCCCCUGCAGUACACACGCUGGAAGGAACCCAUCCCCCGACCCCUUGUCCCUGUCUUCUCCGCUCCACAACAGACCAGGCGCCGAUGGCUUUCCGCAGAGAAUACAGGGAACAGAAUGAGCCCCCACCCGCCUGACUCCAGACUGGGGCUCGGCCCGACGCAGCCUGUGAAGCCGCGGCGGAUUCAGACUGAGCGAGCCAGGGCCGGGGGAGAGACGGACCACGGGGGCAGAGUGUUUUGCUUCCCCGCCAUUGCACAUGGCAAGAUUUCCGUGCGCUCUGCUGGCAGGCAUUUCUGUGUUGGACUGAAGUCCCAGGCCAAAUCUGCAUCUGAAAGCCAAAGCAGGAAACACGCGAGUGUCUGUGCAGUUCGUUCCCGGAUUGUUUCCAGACGGAAGGGAGCUUUCAGCAGCCUCUGGUGUUUGCAGUUUUGAUCAAUAGCAGCCGCGUUCCAAUCACUGACGGCUCAGCACUACAGGGUGUAUUCAAAGGAUGCUGGGGCAGGGACACCAGGAAAGUCUGGAUUCGCAUUCUCUCCCUGUCCGCUCGUCUAAAGUUAAUUUGCUAAUGUUGUACUAUUAAAUUCUGCUUGGCGUUUUCAUUCUGAGCUCCAGCAUGCACAGAUGAUUAUUUAUGAGCUACAACUGAUUUGCAUUGUGCAUAUGUAAUAUCUGCCCAUCCCUCCUCCCCCUCAGUCUGAUAAUGUGCUUUUCAGGGCAUCAGCACUUUCACAGUGUGCUCUGGAGAUGAUUCCGAGGCCGUCAUGUUUCUCUCCAUGCCACUGCCCCGGAUUUAACGUUCUCCCCUGGCUCAAAGGAACAGGACAGUACUGAGCCACGGGCUCUUGGGGGCUAACCCCCCCCCCGUACCCCGUCACCAUCAUGAGAGCUGCAGUGUUGGGCAGUCUUGGAAAUGGGCAGCAUUUGGGAUGGCAAAGGGACGUCCGAGGAUAC